This 483-nucleotide ribosomal RNA is filed under the name uncultured organism. RNAcentral describes it as "SSU rRNA". It matches the Rfam family "Bacterial small subunit ribosomal RNA", at positions 20 to 509 of the family's 1533-position model. The record is from RNAcentral.
UGGCUCAGGACGAACGCUGGCGGCGUGCUUAACACAUGCAAGUCGAACGAGGUUGCAGGAGAGCUUGCUCGAAUGUAACCGAGUGGCGGACGGGUGAGUAACGCGUGAGGAACCUGUCUCACACAGGGGGAUAACGCAUCGAAAGAUGUGCUAAUACCGCAUAUGACCACAGCAUCGCAUGGUGCAGAGGUGAAAGGAGCAAUCCGGUGUGAGGUGGACUCGCGUCUGAUUAGAUAGUUGGUGAGGUAACGGCCCACCAAGUCAACGAUCAGUAGCCGACCUGAGAGGGUGAUCGGCCACAUUGGGACUGAGACACGGCCCAGACUCCUACGGGAGGCAGCAGUGGGGAAUAUUGGGCAAUGGGCGAAAGCCUGACCCAGCAACGCCGCGUGAGGGAAGACGGUUUUCGGAUUGUAAACCUCUGUCUUUGGUGAAGAAGAAAGUGACGGUAGCCAAGGAGGAAGCCACGGCUAACUACGUGCC